AUUUGCCCGGGAAUGUGCUAUAAAAAUAAAAUAAAAACAUUUUUAAGAAUGUUUUUUAUGUGAAACGUGUUUUUCCACAUCAGAUUUUAGUCAAAUAAUCCAAGAAAUUCAUUUUAAGGAAACCGAUAGAAACGGAACAUAAAACCAUAACCAAGGCAAGCAACGGUAUCUGCGGAGGCUGCACAAGUUCUGAGCUCAAUGGCCCCGAUAGACAUAGUAAUUGAAGAAAGAAUGGAAAUGCAAGAACAUUCAGGAAGAACAGCGGAAGAAAGUAGAAAUAGAGUUCUGGAAAUAUGGUGUAAAAGAUGGAGUCAAAACAGAAAUGGGAAAGGUAUUACCUACAUAAAAUAAAGUUAGCUGACUCCGAUGCUAAUACGGUGGAGCAUACUCUUUUGGAAUGUAACCGAUGGACAGCUGAACGAAGAGUUCUAUACGAAAAACUAAGAGUCCUAAAAAUUAAGAUUUCCGAUCUAGUUCCAGAGAUGAUUCGAUCCCCAGAAAAUUGGAAUAGUGUUCACACUUUUAUGGAGACACUAAUAGAUGCAAAAGAGAAAGAAGCUAGACGAAGUAAC
Sitophilus oryzae (rice weevil) is the source of this 572-nucleotide long non-coding RNA. RefSeq lists it as uncharacterized. The transcript is spliced from 3 exons. NCBI's taxonomy places the organism in Eukaryota, Metazoa, Arthropoda, Insecta, Coleoptera, Curculionidae. The record is from RefSeq and is a predicted model, not a curated record.